UACGGAGGGUGCGAGCGUUGUCCGGAAUCAUUGGGCGUAAAGGGCGCGUAGGUGGCCCGGUCAGUCUUUGGUGAAAGCGCGGGGCUCAACCCUGCGUCGGCCAGGGAUACUGCCGCGGCUCGAGCACUGUAGAGGCAGGCGGAAUUCCGGGUGUAGCGGUGGAAUGCGUAGAGAUCCGGAAGAACACCGGUGGCGAAAGCGGUGCACUGGUGGAUUACUGACGCUGAGGUGCGAAAGCCAGGGGAGCAAACGGG
This 254-nucleotide ribosomal RNA is filed under the name uncultured bacterium. Its description in RNAcentral is "partial 16S ribosomal RNA". It matches the Rfam family "Bacterial small subunit ribosomal RNA", at positions 524 to 776 of the family's 1533-position model. The record is from RNAcentral.